UUUUCAAGCUCUACAUCUCUUCCAUAUUAAUCUGUCGUAAGAAACAUCAUCUAAAUUUGUCACAGUGAAUAAAGUUCAUCUUCAAGACCAGCAGUUUCAUCUGUGAGAUUCAGAUCAACUCAAAGAUAGAGUUCCUCCCCUAAAAACAAUUUCUAAAAUUGUAUUCUUGUAUACAACUUUGCUUUAUGAUAUACAUUAUAUUAUGUAAGCAAUAAG
Long non-coding RNA from Sinocyclocheilus anshuiensis, 216 nucleotides. RefSeq lists it as uncharacterized. The transcript has 3 exons. Lineage: Eukaryota; Metazoa; Chordata; Actinopteri; Cypriniformes; Cyprinidae. The record is from RefSeq and is a predicted model, not a curated record.